This 301-nucleotide ribosomal RNA is filed under the name uncultured bacterium. RNAcentral's name for it is "partial 16S ribosomal RNA". It matches the Rfam family "Bacterial small subunit ribosomal RNA", at positions 509 to 807 of the family's 1533-position model. The record is from RNAcentral.
CAGUAGCCGCGGUAAUACGAAGGGUGCAAGCGUUAAUCGGAAUUACUGGGCGUAAAGCGUGCGUAGGCGGUUUGUUAAGUCUGCUGUGAAAUCCCCGGGCUCAGCCUGGGAAUGGCAGUGGAUACUGGCUCGCUAGAGUGUGUCAGAGGAUGGUGGAAUUCCCGGUGUAGCGGUGAAAUGCGUAGAGAUCGGGAGGAACAUCAGUGGCGAAGGCGGCCAUCUGGGACAACACUGACGCUGAGGCACGAAAGCGUGGGGAGCAAACAGGAUUAGAUACCCCCGUAGUCCCUGUCUCUUAUAC